UAAUACGGAGGGUGCGAGCGUUGUCCGGAAUCAUUGGGCGUAAAGGGCGCGUAGGUGGCCCGGUCAGUCCGUGGUGAAAGCGCGGGGCUCAACCCUGCGUCGGCCAUGGAUACUGCCGCGGCUCGAGCACUGUAGAGGCAGGCGGAAUUCCGGGUGUAGCGGUGGAAUGCGUAGAGAUCCGGAAGAACACCGGUGGCGAAGGCGGCCUGCUGGGCAGUUUAGCUGACACUGAGGCGCGACAGCGUGGGGAGCAAACA
RNAcentral lists this ribosomal RNA (257 nucleotides) under uncultured prokaryote. Its description in RNAcentral is "partial 16S ribosomal RNA". It matches the Rfam family "Bacterial small subunit ribosomal RNA", at positions 521 to 774 of the family's 1533-position model. The record is from RNAcentral.